Sturnus vulgaris (Common starling) is the source of this 916-nucleotide non-coding RNA. The record is from RefSeq and is a predicted model, not a curated record. Lineage: Eukaryota; Metazoa; Chordata; Aves; Passeriformes; Sturnidae.
UUUGUUUUGGAAGGAACCUCUGGAAAUCAUCCAGUCCAACCCCCUGCCAAGGCAGGAUCACCUGAAGCAGGUGGCACAGGAACGUGUCCGGCCCUGUGUGAGUAGACACACAGAGGACAUUUUGAAGGGAAAAGAAAGCAGUCAGGAAAGAAGUUCAAUUAUUUAUGGUGAGCAGAUGGAUUUAGCAAGCCUGCCUGCUGAGACAGAAGCAUGACUGUGCAAAUCAGGUUGUACUGAUACUUACAUCCAUUUUCUGAGGCAGAUCCUUCACUCCAUAUAUAUGAUUUAUUCAUGCUUAAGCUUUCUUGGCCCUCAGUAAGAAUUUUUCCUGUAACAGCAUUACAGAGCAACUGAGACCCCAUGGAAAAAGAAAGAUACGACUCUGACAAACAUAAAGCCCUUGUGAACAUUUUGCAACAGCUAGUAAGAUUUUGUUGGGAAAAGGAUUAACACUUAUUUUAAACAAAAGAGGUAUGGACCUCUAUAUUUGUCUCUUGUUUAUUGUUUCUUGUGGGGCAAGCCACAACAAACAAAUGACUUUGAAUAAUGAAUGUAAUUGCUAUUGUAAAACUGUGUUAUAAAAUCAUGUAUUUCAUGCCUCUUAAGGCCUUGUAUGUUGUCAGUUUGAGUCUUGAUUCACUUGGUUCUCUGUCUUUUGCAAAAUUUUGUGUUUCCUAAUAUCAACCACCAAGUUCACGCUAAGAAUUACCCAGGAAAACCAGCUACUUUCUGCUAUUCUGAAAUGAAUUAUAUAUGUAAUUUUAGGCACAGGCUCAGGUUUAAACAUAAAAUUCAAAAUUACUUUCAUCCUUCCAAAUUUUUUUCAAAAUACUAGAGUUGCAUAGAAUUAGGGGACUGUGAUACAGGCAUUCUGCAGCAUGCAAUAAAAUCUAAUAUUUAUCUGUUUCUGCCACAU